Long non-coding RNA from Bombus pyrosoma, 1243 nucleotides. RefSeq lists it as uncharacterized. The transcript has 3 exons. The record is from RefSeq and is a predicted model, not a curated record. Lineage: Eukaryota; Metazoa; Arthropoda; Insecta; Hymenoptera; Apidae.
UUUAGUAAUAUACAUAUGUGAAACAUCGCGAGUAUAUCACGACGACGACUGAGUUUCCGGAGCUUGUUUCUCUGCAUACAUUACAGUAGAAUUUUAUAAAUAACCACGAUCUCGCAAUAAGCAUUUACAAACUUCAUACUUUUCUAUUAAGCAUCUGUGAACUCUUCUUCAGCAGAACUUCAUAAUUUUUAGAGUUCUUAAGUAAAGACCUCAUACUCUUCAAAAACUUUUAUACUCGCGAGAUGAAUUGUGGAACAUUCUUUUCGUCUUGGAACGGAAACGUACAAAGAAAAGGCUCUAACCGAGCUCGUGAAUGAAGAUGAGUAACGUACAUUGCUCAAAACUUGUAACCAUUACAAGAAGCCAUCCUACGUAAAAGAUGGAACGAGAGAUUAUGUGUCUCCCCUUUGCCUCCAGCCUUGAUACGUCCCUGGACGAGCACGCUGCUGUCCUUGGAACUUCCUUUGGUCCCGGGAGAGCUUCCGAGGGAAAUCCGGACUUCCCAUCCGCGACUACAGACGACCCAACUUCUUCGUGGCUUGUGAUGUUUUUAAGCUUAUACUUUAUGAAAGAACAUCUACCUUCCACGGGAAAAAGAAAACGUUAAACAAAGUUAAUACUGCUUUCUUGUUGCGGGAGACAACGUAUAAUAAUCAAAUCUUAGAGUAGCCACAUUUCAAGUUGAAUUUGACGAACUUUUAAAUCGUUUCAGCUGGAAUUGUAUGAAUUGUUGAAUCGUUUAAUAUACGAACGUUAAUGACUUGUAAUUGAUAACUUCGAAUGUUUAUAAAAUUUCGACACCGUUUCAAAAGACACAAAUAUGGACUUAUCAUCUAUAAGAUUUUAAGUUGCUUUUAAGAGAGUUCAUCUGAACUAUUUCACGUAAUAUGAAGACAUUUGUGUAAUUUUUGCGUUGUCAUUAAUCGGUCUUGUUUUUUAUAUUUGCAAUGCAAUGAAUAUUUUUGUGGAGUGUUUAAAAUAAGAUGUGAAUAUUGAAAUAAUUUUAUGGUUGCUCACUGGUGUACGUAUAUGCUUCGCGAAUUAAAAUACCAACAAUAAGAGGAGCUUUAAUCAUUCUGAUUGUUGAAUAGAGAACGCAUAAGAAAUGAUUCAAACUUUGCUCCAAUUAUAAUUAUAAUUCUUUGCUAACAUUGAUAGUUAUAUUAUUAAAAAAUCAUACAAGCGUUAAAGAUAGAAUGAAGAUAAAAAUAUUACUUCUUACAUUUUCAAAAUAUAGGUACAU